CAAUUUCUGAGGAUCUGACGAGGAUCUCAUGAGCACCCGCAGCGAUCUACAACCAUGGCCGGGAUCUUGCCGUAUAUAAUUUGUUCUUUCCCGUUGAAGUACAGCAUGUUUAUGGGGGACAUCUUGGUGGGCGUGCAGCAAGGGCCCGCCGAACCUCUGGGGUUUGCUUGGUGUACAAGGUGGGUGUGGGGGUAUUUUUGUAAAAACACAAACUCGCAUUCUCCGGAGCAGUAAUUGGCUUUGUAUCUCUUAGGUGCAAUAAUCCAAUCCCACCCGAAAGCUUCAAAAUCCACGGUCAGCGGGUAGCGACAACAUCGGGAUUCUGUGGAGUGCUCGUCACAGUCGAGACCGAAAUCUCUGCGGGACCGUUUUGGCGUGUCUGUAACUCUGACCUCUAAAAAUGGGUUCUGUGAGGAGAGGACAAGGAAUUGGAAUCAUUACUGAGACUUCAGCCAGCAGCCUGUUGGGAGAGCCCGAGGAGGAGUUGUGUGGCUCUACAGCAGGGAGACAACUCUCUCGGAGGAGCAGUGGGAGGCGAAAACAGCAGGGUUACUUACACUCCGUAGGCAUUGUGAUAAUCGUUUCGGUGGUGGCAUGAUAGUCAUCAUCUUCCAAAGAGCCAUCACUACUGUCAUCUCUCUGGACGUCAUACUGAUCAAUCAGUUCCUGUAGUGGAGGAGCCUUGGGUAAAAGUUGCUUAAUAACAUCCCUGCUAAUGUUAGGAGCUUGUUCCAGGCGCAGUUUGCUGAGGAUUUGAAUUUUUAUGGCUUCUAUUCUGGAAGAUUUUGUAUUCUGUCUCCACGUACAAGCAUUGCACAGUCCGUCUUUUUCAGCGUUCUCUGUGGGCUGACUACUGUCAUCAAGAGCCACCGGAUCAACUGAAAUCAGCAUGAGCAGGGCUACUUUGUGAGGAGUUCCUUUCUCUGAAGAUGGAAUAAACAAC
Long non-coding RNA from Chiroxiphia lanceolata (lance-tailed manakin), 943 nucleotides. RefSeq lists it as uncharacterized. NCBI's taxonomy places the organism in Eukaryota, Metazoa, Chordata, Aves, Passeriformes, Pipridae. The transcript has 3 exons. The record is from RefSeq and is a predicted model, not a curated record.